AGGGUUUGAUCCUGGCUCAGGAUGAACGCUGGCGGCGUGCUUAACACAUGCAAGUCGAACGAAGCAUUUAGAACGGAUUACUUCGGUUUGAAGUUCUUUAUGACUGAGUGGCGGACGGGUGAGUAACGCGUGGGUAACCUGCCUUGUACUGGGGGAUAGCAGCUGGAAACGGCUGGUAAUACCGCAUAAGCGCACAAUGUUGCAUGACAUGGUGUGAAAAACUCCGGUGGUACAGGAUGGACCCGCGUCUGAUUAGCUGGUUGGUGAGGUAACGGCUCACCAAGGCGACGAUCAGUAGCCGGCUUGAGAGAGUGAACGGCCACAUUGGGACUGAGACACGGCCCAA
RNAcentral lists this ribosomal RNA (346 nucleotides) under uncultured bacterium. Its description in RNAcentral is "bacterial SSU rRNA". It matches the Rfam family "Bacterial small subunit ribosomal RNA", at positions 8 to 334 of the family's 1533-position model. The record is from RNAcentral.